This is a ribosomal RNA of 908 nucleotides. It matches the Rfam family "Bacterial small subunit ribosomal RNA", at positions 68 to 987 of the family's 1533-position model.
GAUGAAGCCCAGCUUGCUGGGUGGAUUAGUGGCGAACGGGUGAGUAACACGUGAGUAACCUGCCCUUAACUCUGGGAUAAGCCUGGGAAACUGGGUCUAAUACCGGAUAGGAGCGCCGACCGCAUGGUGGGUGUUGGAAAGAUUUAUCGGUUUUGGAUGGACUCGCGGCCUAUCAGCUUGUUGGUGAGGUAAUGGCUCACCAAGGCGACGACGGGUAGCCGGCCUGAGAGGGUGACCGGCCACACUGGGACUGAGACACGGCCCAGACUCCUACGGGAGGCAGCAGUGGGGAAUAUUGCACAAUGGGCGCAAGCCUGAUGCAGCGACGCCGCGUGAGGGAUGACGGCCUUCGGGUUGUAAACCUCUUUCAGUAGGGAAGAAGCGAAAGUGACGGUACCUGCAGAAGAAGCACCGGCUAACUACGUGCCAGCAGCCGCGGUAAUACGUAGGGUGCGAGCGUUAUCCGGAAUUAUUGGGCGUAAAGAGCUCGUAGGCGGUUUGUCGCGUCUGUCGUGAAAGUCCGGGGCUUAACCCCGGAUCUGCGGUGGGUACGGGCAGACUAGAGUGCAGUAGGGGAGACUGGAAUUCCUGGUGUAGCGGUGGAAUGCGCAGAUAUCAGGAGGAACACCGAUGGCGAAGGCAGGUCUCUGGGCUGUAACUGACGCUGAGGAGCGAAAGCAUGGGGAGCGAACAGGAUUAGAUACCCUGGUAGUCCAUGCCGUAAACGUUGGGCACUAGGUGUGGGGACCAUUCCACGGUUUCCGCGCCGCAGCUAACGCAUUAAGUGCCCCGCCUGGGGAGUACGGCCGCAAGGCUAAAACUCAAAGGAAUUGACGGGGGCCCGCACAAGCGGCGGAGCAUGCGGAUUAAUUCGAUGCAACGCGAAGAACCUUACCAAGGCUUGACAU